GACGAACGCUGGCGGCGUGCUUAACACAUGCAAGUCGAACGGUGAACCAGGGCUUGCCCUGGGGAUCAGUGGCGAACGGGUGAGUAACACGUGGGCAACCUGCCCCUGACUCUGGGAUAACUUCGGGAAACCGAAGCUAAUACCGGAUACGACCUCCUUAGGCAUCUUUGGAGGUGGAAAGUUUUUCGGUCAGGGAUGGGCCCGCGGCCUAUCAGCUUGUUGGUGGGGUAAUGGCCCACCAAGGCGACGACGGGUAGCCGGCCUGAGAGGGCGACCGGCCACACUGGGACUGAGACACAGCCCAGACUCCUACGGGAGGCAGCAGUGGGGAAUAUUGCGCAAUGGGCGAAAGCCUGACGCAGCGACGCCGCGUGAGGGAUGAAGGCCUUCGGGUUGUAAACCUCUUUCAGCAGGGACGAAGCGCAAGUGACUGUACCUGCAGAAGAAGCACCGGCUAACUACGUGCCAGCCGCCGCUGUAA
Molecule: ribosomal RNA, 481 nt
Filed under: uncultured bacterium
Lineage: Bacteria
Description: partial 16S ribosomal RNA
Rfam family: Bacterial small subunit ribosomal RNA
Source: RNAcentral